Molecule: transfer RNA, 86 nt
Filed under: bacterium
Lineage: Bacteria
Description: tRNA-Val
Rfam family: tRNA
About the family: Transfer RNA (tRNA) molecules are approximately 80 nucleotides in length. Their secondary structure includes four short double-helical elements and three loops (D, anti-codon, and T loops).
Source: RNAcentral
GCGCGCGUAGCUCAGAGUUGAUUACUAUAGGAUAGAGCGCCUGCCUGACACGCAGGAGGCCGCGGGUUCGAAUCCUGUCGUGCGCA